This 253-nucleotide ribosomal RNA is filed under the name uncultured bacterium. RNAcentral's name for it is "partial 16S ribosomal RNA". It matches the Rfam family "Bacterial small subunit ribosomal RNA", at positions 524 to 776 of the family's 1533-position model. The record is from RNAcentral.
UACGGAGGGUGCAAGCGUUAUCCGGAUUCACUGGGUUUAAAGGGUGCGUAGGCGGGCAGGUAAGUCAGUGGUGAAAUCUUCGAGCUUAACUCGGAAACUGCCGUUGAUACUACCUGUCUUGAAUACCCGGGAGGUGAGCGGAAUAUGUCAUGUAGCGGUGAAAUGCUUAGAUAUGACAUAGAACACCAAUUGCGAAGGCAGCUCACUACAGGGUCAUUGACGCUGAGGCACGAAAGCGUGGGGAUCAAACAGG